GUACGCUGGCGGCACGCCUAACACAUGCAAGUCGAACGAAGUAGCAAUACUUAGUGGCAGACGGGUGAGUAACAUGUAGGUAUCUGCCCUUUGGCCUGGAAUAACACGAGGAAACUUGUGCUAAUACCGGAUAAGUCUUUACGGAGAAAGCUUUAUGCACCAUUGGAUGAGCCUGCACUUGAUUAGUUUGUUGGUGGGGUAAUGGCCUACCAAGACUGUGAUCAAUAGCUGAUUUGAGAGGAUGAUCAGCCACAUUGGGACUGAGACACGGCCCAAACUCCUACGGGAGGCAGCAGUGGGGAAUCUUGCACAAUGGAGGAAACUCUGAUGCAGCGAUGCCGCGUGAGUGAAGAAGGCCCUUGGGUUGUAAAGCUCUUUCGUCGGGGAAGAAAAUGACUGUACCCGAAUAAGAAGGUCCGGCUA
Molecule: ribosomal RNA, 423 nt
Filed under: uncultured bacterium
Lineage: Bacteria
Description: bacterial SSU rRNA
Rfam family: Bacterial small subunit ribosomal RNA
Source: RNAcentral